Molecule: long non-coding RNA, 496 nt
Organism: Dermatophagoides pteronyssinus (European house dust mite)
Lineage: Eukaryota; Metazoa; Arthropoda; Arachnida; Sarcoptiformes; Pyroglyphidae
Source: RefSeq, a predicted model, not a curated record
UGGAUAAACUUAAUGACGCGCCAAAAUAACAACGAACAACAACUUUUUCUUUUUCCUUUUUUCUUUUCGUUGAAGAAAUUUUCAAUCAUACGAGAUUUGUCAUCAAAGUUCUAAGCAAAAAUCUGGAUAUCAGAAGAGUAAUAUCAGGCCAUUUUCCAAGUUUGUGCCUGUGUUUUUUUUUCCAACAACAACAACAACAACAAAAGUCUCGUGGUUUAAAGAUAUUUUCUUGUUUUCCAAACACGAACAACAACAUCUCAUUUUUCAACGAUAUUCGUCGUUAUUGUUUGUUUGAAGCCAUCGAACAUAGACAAACCAUACAUACACAGACAACAAGACAACAAAGACCAAUACACCAAACAUCAAUUCGAGUCUGUUCAGGAACAAUUUCUUUGUUGAAACUCUCUCUCUCUCACUCUAUUGUUGUCUAUGUGAUUUUUCAUUGAUGUGCAGUGUGUGUGUGUGUGUUGUGUAUAUUUGAGUAAAUUGUGCAUAA